RNAcentral lists this long non-coding RNA (1740 nucleotides) under Homo sapiens (human). RNAcentral describes it as "HSALNT0249318". The record is from RNAcentral. Lineage: Eukaryota; Metazoa; Chordata; Mammalia; Primates; Hominidae.
CUGAGUUCCCACCUUUCUUCUAGCCUGCGUGGAAGGCUUCCUAUGAAAGCUUCCCCUUUCUUCACACAGCCAGCAGCCUAGAGGCAGCAGGAAAUCAAGACUGCUUCAAACAGGUGAAGAAGAUGGCCGUGAAAGCCACAAGGUCAUCCCCCUGAAGGAGAAUGGCCUGCUCCAGAUGGGAAGUUUAUCUGCCUGGAUCCUGAAACGAAGACGACAUAUGGAUCAGGAACUGAGUCACUGACAGACUACAGCUGACUUACAACUUAAGUAAGAAGUAAACCUUCAUUAUUAUAAGCAGCAAUAUUUUGGAGUGGUCAGUGAUUGGUACCUUAGCUAACAAAAGCCGAAGAAUGCACCUUCAUUCAUUUUGUUUGUGUUUAUUCAUUAGAUUCAAGAUGUAUUUGUUGAUUAUCUAUUAAUAUUAUUGCAAUGUAUUCUGCUAACUGGUAGAGACACAGCUACUAAUGAGCUAGAUCCAAUGGCUGCCCUCGUGGAGUUAAUAUUCACAUAUUAGCCUACACUCCUCUUCCCUACAAGAUCUAGCAACUGCAAAUUUAACCAACAGCGGAUUGCCUUAGUUCAGCAUUGUCUGACUUGGGGUCAUACAAGUAGGCCCAAGAAGGAUCUGAAGAAAAAACAAGAAAAAUCAGGGAAAUUCCUGAUAAGGAGAAUGGGUCCCUGAAAACAAAUAUUAAAUUUUCAUUAUGACAAUUGCUUUAUAAUACAGACAACAGAGACAAUGGCUAAGAUCACUUUGUUCAGGUCAUCUGCUUUACCACAAUUUAAUUAUUAAGCGAAAAUACACACAGAGCCCUGGCCCAAUCCUUAUGAUGUCAACACCAAACUGGAAAUAUGGAGAGGUCAAGACUCAAAUUAGGGAUAGCAUUAGGAGAAAUACCUAAUGUAGAUGAUGGGUUGAUGGAUGCAGCAAACCACCAUGGCACGUGUAUACCUAUGUAAUAAACCUGCACAUUCCGCACAUGUAUCUCAGAAUUUAAAGUAUAAUAGUAAAAAAAAAAAAAAAAGAAAAAGAAAGAAAAAGAGAAUGACAAGUUAAAAAAAAAAAAAAAGACUCAAAUUAGCCCGAAAGGGUCAAUGGCAAGGCCUCAAGUGUGUCUGAAUUUGGAGGAGAAAAAAGGGAUGGCCUGUGUUUACUAUGUCCAGGGAAUAAACACAAGAAGGGGUCUGGUCUUCCCUGGUGUGUUCACGGACCCCAGGACUCUUCAUCAAAUGACUAAGCCACCUAAUUCAAUUCCUUAAAAUAAAUAUAAUGCUUGUGAUAAUCAACUCCCAUAUCCACUAUUGAGAGUCUAAAAAAUAUUAUUUUCUUUAUUUUUUAGCUCCUGCCCUGGCUUUCUGAUCAUCCUGGUAGUUUACAAAUCUCUGUUUUCUUUAUUUCUGUUUUUUUUUUUUUUUUUUUAAAGAGGUUAAGGCCAUAAAAUCCAUUAGAGAGAGACCACUGUGCUAUGCUAGAGCACGGCACAUUGCCUUAUGUUUUAAUAAUUACAAAAGGGCAAAAUCACUGAACUUUUCAAGAGUUCUUAGACAAGCCAGCUUUCUAUGCAGGUUAAGUACUUUAAAUCCCUUCCAUUUGGAUAGCACUGAUUUUUAUCUGAGAAUAAAAUAUGACUCUUCUGAACGAGGUAUUAUAUAAACUCUUGGUAAUAUUUUGGUAAUUCUAAAAAGAUCGCACUGAAGUCCUAAGAAACUGACAGUAACAGGCACGAAAUCUGAGUGAAU